UGUCCCCAUUUUCUCAGACAAGGAAACCAAGGCACAGAGAGAGUACCCGGCUCGCCCCUGACACACAGUGGAGGAAGCCAGGUUGAACGACUCUGAUAACUCAAAAACCGGGGGAUUGCCAGCUUCCUUGAGGAGACAGACAUGCUUCCUGACCUGUCCUCACCUGGCAAGAGUCCUGGUUUCUGUCCAGCCCAGCACAAAUCAUGUUGUUGGUGAUUACGCCAGGGUAGAAGAUCUCACACUGCUUCUGGCUAAGGAGAGUCACCCUGGAGCAGCUCAGGCUCCUGUUGUAUUUCACUGAGAGGAACAGGUGCGAUGAACCCUGGGCAUCCUUUGGCGGUGCAGCUCGAAUCCCGCCUCACCGUAACCUCACCGGAGCAGGGAGAGUGCCUGAGUCCCAUCCUCCCCACCCCUCCGUGGCGGUCCCUCGGUGGCUGCCUCUGGGGCAUCCCUUACUUCUUUCUCCAGCAGUGUGCGGCCGUGAGCACCCAGCUCCGGUCCACGAGGACACCCGCGCAUUGGAACUGGAGAUUAUGGAAGAGGGACACCUGCCAGGGCUGCGAGUCACGUGUGCACGGGACGCUAGACGCCUCAAGGUCCAAGCUCGUGACGUUUCCCGGGAGCAGCAGCGCCUGUGCGCCUGGGUGGAGAAGCGAAGGCAGCGGAUUAGGGCUCACCUGGCCUGGGCUGGGAACCCGGCCAGUGCGGAACUUCACUCGAUUGGCCUGUAGGGGGCGCGGCUGUAUCAUGAACCGUGGGAGAAUUAGGGAACCCUGUGAACCAGUUGCAGAGGCGUGAUAGGGCAAGAGGGGUUAGAAUGGAACCGGACUAAGACACCCCAGGGCUGAGGAUGGAGUGGGGAGGAUCUGGGGGAGACGGUUGUAGGAAAGGCAGGGCUCUAACCUACGGGCCAGAGACCAGAUGCAGGCCUAGGACUGUGUUAGGGAAGGGCGUGGGGCGGGGCGCAGAGAGGGACUGGUACAGAGCUCAGUUGGGUAGUAAGAACGGAACACAUGGGGGAGGUAAAGGGAAGAGACAAAGCAAUGGAGCAGUGAGGGGCGGAGACAGAGCACAGCCCAGCAGUAAGGAGCUGGAGACAGGAGCACAGUAGGGGCGGCCAGGAGAGGAGACAGGAACACAGUAGGGCAGUAAGGGACCGGGCCAGAACGCUGUGAAGCACUAGGCAGGAGAGAAGGGAAGGUCGAGUCCGAAGAUGGGAAGGGGCAGAGGAAGGGCUCCAAUGCUGCACAGCAGACUAGGCAUACUGUGGGAUCUCGUUUAGGAAUAGGCAGGGACUCAGUGAGUGUUCAAGGGGCGAGGAGAAGGCAUGCGGAGCGGGAGAGGCUGAGGUGCUGGUGCAGUGAAGGGGCUGCGGUUCUUUUCCAGUGGGGCACGGCACCUGGGGACAGAGCCCACCCGAGGGUGGAUCUUGCUUGGGAUGGUUAUGUAGGUGCUGGGUCCCCAGGAGGGCGAGCUGAGCAUGGUUGCUGCGGCCACACGCCCUCCUCCUCCGGUCCUGGCCCUUCCCUCCCGUUGCCCCCGGCCCAGGGCUCACCCCAGAGUUGCGCCAUCAGUAGCGGUAGCAGCAGCUUCACUAGGGUCAAGGCACCAGAGGCGGUGGAGAAGUAGAGGAGCUGGGCCCUCAUGGUUGACACCUGGCUUGCUGAGACCGGAGCGGAGGGCUAAAACAGAUAUUCUGUCAAGACCCCUGCCUGGCGCGCCUGGGCCAUCUCAGCAGGGACCUCUCCGGGGCCCUCAGGACUUUCCUCCAGAGGGGAGCAUUUGUGCACUCAGCCUUUCUGGGACACCAGCCACGCUGAGCUCCAGGUCCACGCUCCUUCGUGGGGUGGGGGUCCUGCUCAGAGCCCUUGGGAGCUUCUUCCUAACCUCAGAGCUGAGGGACUUCCCCAUGUGACAGGGAAAUCAGGGCUACAAAAGAGUUGCUGCCCGUUGCCCGAGGGUCCCCACCCAUCCUCUCGCCAUCCACCCCAACCAGGGUGGGGUGCAUCCCCUUCACCUGGGAGUCGCUAGUGGGAAGGAGGGAGGAGACUCCGAAGUGUCUCUUGCUGUGCAAUGUGGACCGCAAACGGUCCUCUGACCAGGGACCCCUGGCAGACCUUCCCUUUUUAACCCCCAAGAUCCCGGAAGCUUCCCCCACCCUCCCCUCAGGGACUCACUCCCUCUCUUUCCCUCUCCCUAAUUAUAACGUGGGUGGGGCUGGCACUCAACCAGGGCCCCAGAUUCCUGCUGCGGGAGGGGCCCUGGAAUACAGGCUGCUGCAGAUGGCAGGAACACCUUCUGGAGCUGGCUUUCUUGGAGGUUCCCCCAUGCCCUGUUAUGAGAAGUAUUCCCAGGUGCGGUGGGAGGGUGCGGAGGGGGUCAAGUCUUCUGGGAUGAUGGGAUGACGUGUGACAUCAAAGGGGGAUGAAGAGGGAGAGAGGUAGGUGUUGGCAGGUGUGGGAAUGCGGAAGGGAAGGAGGGUGGGCAGGGUUCAGGUGGUGGGAGGAAGAGGCAAACUCCCAGAGGUGUAAACCAAGAAACAGAAGCUCCUUGUGUCUCAGCAUGUGCUGGGGGAGGGGCGUCUGUAGCCUUGCACUAAACCUGUGUGUGAACAUCUCGCACCCUCCCUGCGUGUCUCCAGGUGACACACAGCUGGUGAAUCAUAGGAGGCCCAGGCUGCAAGGGACAGGCCACAUCACCUCGGCUAACACCCUCAUUUUGGGUGAGGAAUGGGAGGCUCAGAGAGGGCUGUGACUCAUAAGAGGUCACACAGCAAGCAAGUCCACCUAACAACCGAAGGUUCUAUCUGGUUCCAGCUCUGAGUUCUUCCUUGUGCCAGGAUCUCUCUCCAAGAGCGGAACAGAACGUCUGUGUUAUCUGGGGCAUCUUUUGACAGGCUCAGCUCUGUCCAGAUCUUUUGCUACAGUGGUUAUGUUACAGCAGCCACCAGCCACAUCCAGCUGCAGAGCAUUCGAACUUGUCAAAGGCGGUAGGAAUUUCCUUCCUGCUUUGUCUUUGUUUUGGCUAGCAGAUGCUGGCCUCUGUGAACUGAAUCUGGGCAGUUUGAAAACGACAGCAGCCUUCUUUACUGCCUCUUACUCUAUGCAUGCAGAUGCACACACCUUUUUCAUACUUUCAGACGUGUGAUUUUCUGUAGGAAGAACUGAGUGCCUGGAAGGAGCGAACUGAGUUCUUUCUGCUGGGCCUGCUUGGUGGGUAAGGGUACUUGUGGCUAAGCCUGACAACCUAGGUUUGAUCCUUGGGCCCUACAUGGUGGAAGGGGAUGACUGACUCCUGCAAUUUGCACACCUCCACAUGUGUACCGUGGCAUGAGCACCCUUGCCCCGGCAAUGAAUGAGUAAAUGUAAAAAAGAAAUUAAAGUUACAUAAAAAGAAAAUGAA
This is a long non-coding RNA of Mesocricetus auratus (golden hamster), 3402 nucleotides long. RefSeq lists it as uncharacterized. The transcript is spliced from 3 exons. The record is from RefSeq and is a predicted model, not a curated record. NCBI's taxonomy places the organism in Eukaryota, Metazoa, Chordata, Mammalia, Rodentia, Cricetidae.